AGUGAACGCUGGCGGUAGGCCUAACACAUGCAAGUCGAACGGCAGCACAGUAAGAGCUUGCUCUUACGGGUGGCGAGUGGCGGACGGGUGAGGAAUACAUCGGAAUCUACUUUUUCGUGGGGGAUAACGUAGGGAAACUUACGCUAAUACCGCAUACGACCUACGGGUGAAAGCAGGGGAUCUUCGGACCUUGCGCGAUUGAAUGAGCCGAUGUCGGAUUAGCUAGUUGGCGGGGUAAAGGCCCACCAAGGCGACGAUCCGUAGCUGGUCUGAGAGGAUGAUCAGCCACACUGGAACUGAGACACGGUACAGACUCCUACGGGAGGCAGCAGUGGGGAAUAUUGGACAAUGGGCGCAAGCAUGAUCCAGCAAUACCGCGUGGGUGAAGAAGGCCUUCGGGUUGUAAAGCCCUUUUGUUGGGAAAGAAGAGCAGCAGGUUAAUACCCCGCUGUUCUGACGGUACCCAAAGAAUAAGCACCGGCUAACUUCGUG
This 492-nucleotide ribosomal RNA is filed under the name uncultured bacterium. RNAcentral's name for it is "partial 16S ribosomal RNA". It matches the Rfam family "Bacterial small subunit ribosomal RNA", at positions 29 to 507 of the family's 1533-position model. The record is from RNAcentral.